UCUGGGAUAAGCGCUGGAAACGGCGUCUAAUACUGGAUAUGAGCUCCUUCCGCAUGGUGGGGGUUGGAAAGAUUUUUCGGUCUGGGAUGGGCUCGCGGCCUAUCAGCUUGUUGGUGAGGUAAUGGCUCACCAAGGCGUCGACGGGUAGCCGGCCUGAGAGGGUGACCGGCCACACUGGGACUGAGACACGGCCCAGACUCCUACGGGAGGCAGCAGUGGGGAAUAUUGCACAAUGGGCGGAAGCCUGAUGCAGCAACGCCGCGUGAGGGAUGACGGCCUUCGGGUUGUAAACCUCUUUUAGCAGGGAAGAAGCGAAAGUGACGGUACCUGCAGAAAAAGCGCCGGCUAACUACGUGCCAGCAGCCGCGGUAAUACGUAGGGCGCAAGCGUUAUCCGGAAUUAUUGGGCGUAAAGAGCUCGUAGGCGGUUUGUCGCGUCUGCUGUGAAAUCCCGAGGCUCAACCUCGGGCCUGCAGUGGGUACGGGCAGACUAGAGUGCGGUAGGGGAGAUUGGAAUUCCUGGUGUAGCGGUGGAAUGCGCAGAUAUCAGGAGGAACACCGAUGGCGAAGGCAGAUCUCUGGGCCGUAACUGACGCUGAGGAGCGAAAGGGUGGGGAGCAAACAGGCUUAGAUACCCUGGUAGUCCACCCCGUAAACGUUGGGAACUAGUUGUGGGGACCAUUCCACGGUUUCCGUGACGCAGCUAACGCAUUAAGUUCCCCGCCUGGGGAGUACGGCCGCAAGGCUAAAACUCAAAGGAAUUGACGGGGACCCGCACAAGCGGCGGAGCAUGCGGAUUAAUUCGAUGCAACGCGAAGAACCUUACCAAGGCUUGACAUACACCAGAACACCGUAGAAAUACGGGACUCUUUGGACACUGGUGAACAGGUGGUGCAUGGUUGUCGUCAGCUCGUGUCGUGAGAUGUUGGGUUAAGUCCCGCAACGAGCGCAACCCUCGUUCUAUGUUGCCAGCACGUAAUGGUGGGAACUCAUGGGAUACUGCCGGGGUCAACUCGGAGGAAGGUGGGGAUGACGUCAAAUCAUCAUGCCCCUUAUGUCUUGGGCUUCACGCAUGCUACAAUGGCCGGUACAAAGGGCUGCAAUACCGUGAGGUGGAGCGAAUCCCAAAAAGCCGGUCCCAGUUCGGAUUGAGGUCUGCAACUCGACCUCAUGAAGUCGGAGUCGCUAGUAAUCGCAGAUCAGCAACGCUGCGGUGAAUACGUUCCCGGGUCUUGUACACACCGCCCGUCAAGUCAUGAAAGUCGGUAACACC
Molecule: ribosomal RNA, 1272 nt
Filed under: Microbacterium proteolyticum
Lineage: Bacteria; Bacillati; Actinomycetota; Actinomycetes; Micrococcales; Microbacteriaceae
Description: bacterial SSU rRNA
Rfam family: Bacterial small subunit ribosomal RNA
Source: RNAcentral